RNAcentral lists this long non-coding RNA (391 nucleotides) under Capsella grandiflora. Its description in RNAcentral is "long non-coding RNA (CGRA_LNC000822)". Lineage: Eukaryota; Viridiplantae; Streptophyta; Magnoliopsida; Brassicales; Brassicaceae. The record is from RNAcentral.
CUUGAUUUACCCUUCGUUUGCAGGAUGGAGAGGUAAACUUAUAAAUCAUUCUUCCCAGUUCAGUUCUACUUGACUGGAUCUGAAAAAGAAACUUGUGGUGUAUUUUGUGAAAAAUCAGAAAUGGUUCUUAUGAAUGGGAAGAUCAUAGAUCAGUCAGAGCUUACAAAGGAACAGAUGGUGGAGCAGCUUUCUGUUUCAGUGCUUGUGACGAUGAUGAAACCAGUGGUUACACUCCUGUAUGUUUAAAAUCUUCUAUUAUGUCAUCAUCAUCAUGCAACUAAUUAAUCACACAUACCUCUCCGCAAUCUUAACUGGAUCCUUUCGCGUUGUUUCAGGUGUUCACGGGGAAAAACACAGGAGCCAUGACUUAUAGCUUUAUAAAGGCCGUGAA